This 145-nucleotide unclassified non-coding RNA is filed under the name soil metagenome. RNAcentral describes it as "partial internal transcribed spacer 1". The record is from RNAcentral.
UAAUAAGUGUUUUAUGGCACUUUUUAAAUCCAUAUCCACCUUGUGUGCAAUGUCAGUCGAUCUUCUUCAUGGAGAUCGACCAAACAUCAACCUUUAUUUUUUAACUCUUUGUCUGAAAAAUGUUAUGAAUAAACAAUUCAAAAUA